This 307-nucleotide long non-coding RNA is filed under the name Chrysemys picta bellii (western painted turtle). RNAcentral describes it as "lncRNA (ENSCPBG00000000885.1)". Lineage: Eukaryota; Metazoa; Chordata; Testudines; Emydidae. The record is from RNAcentral.
GACCCCGCGGGGAGGCCCCAAAGCCAUUGGGGUGCUGCGCUCAGCCAAAUGGCCGCAAAGGGAGGAAUGUUCCCCCUGGUCCUCACAUAUACAUGGCUGCACACUCGAUUGAAACAUAGUUAAAGAGGAUACUAAAGCUUGGAACGCUGUUUGUGGGUUCUAGGAGGAUGGAGGAAAAGAACUACGCUUGUGUAUCCAGUCAAUCAUGGUGUCCCUCAAGCAAAGCUGUCUAGAACACUUUCCCAAGGAAAGAAGAUAAAGCAAAGUUCAAAAGGCACCAUACAACUGUUAAACCUGCAAGAGCUUA